This 8298-nucleotide long non-coding RNA is filed under the name Gallus gallus (chicken). Lineage: Eukaryota; Metazoa; Chordata; Aves; Galliformes; Phasianidae. The record is from RNAcentral.
AUCCAUAGCGAGGAAAGGGCUUUGAUCCGUCGCUGCAUUUGUACUGGCAGAGGCCGUCCUCGCCGCCCAGGAGGUCGAGCGCCGCGUUGAGGUAAACGUCGAUCUUGUGCACGCCGUUCCGGAUAGUUUUCAGCGUCAUCCUCCAGUCUGGGGUCUGCGGCGCCUCCUGGCUCCGGGCCGCCGGCGGCCGCGGGCCCACCCAGGCACCCGCCAUCAGCAGCGGCAGCAGCAGCAGGGCGCGGGCCAUGCCCGAGGAGCCGCGCCCCGCGCCGCCGGGCGCUCGCUAAGCCCCCGCCGCGCGGCCGCAGCGCUCCGCACGCACGGCCCGGCCCGCCGCCAUCGGCCCCGCGGGCGCCGCCCCUACGGCUGGGCGGGACUGCGAGCAGGGCGCGGCCUGUUGGAGAAGGCGGCCGGCGUCCGCUCCUGGCCCGGCGCUGCGGUGUGGGGUGCUGGGAGCGGAGCUGCUCCGGGAUCUUUCCACGUGCGAGCGAUUCGCUUUCAGGUGAGGCAGGGUGGAACCACACGGGAAUCGUUCUAAUUUCUGCAACGAAAGCCUUGUUUUAAGACGUGUGGAAUUCCUCAAAAGACGGACAGAGGGAUUUUAGGACACAGGUAACUGCAGGGGACGGGAAAUAUAAAGAACAUGGAAAGGCUUCCGGAUCUGCAGGCGGGCGCGAAAGUACCCGGUAAAUGCUGCUGCGUGUUUGGGCUUUUGUUUGUUUGUUUUUCCUCUCCAGUCUUUGCCGUUCAUUAUUGUUAACUGGAGAAACAGUAGGAAAAGCUGUUAGCAGAUGUUGUCUGCUAACAGACAGAAGAGGGAGCUCUUGCCGCGCCUACCCUGGGAAGUGCCCGUCCCUGCGGCUGCUGUACGGAAGCCCUCCUUCGGCAGAGCAGUUCCAGGGAAGGGGCGUGGAACGAAAGCGGUCUCUACUCUUACUUUGCUUGGAGGUGACUGACAGGGCCUUACUUGCCAAAUUCAUGCUGAUGCGGCUCCAUGCUCAGCGGAGGAUGAAGUCAGUGAAAAUGUAAAAAUGUUGCCUGAAGCAAAUAAUGGUGUCUUAUUAAAAACCAAACUCCAGGCAAGCCCUCAGACUCAGAGAACCCACCCUUUUUCCCUCAACAUCCUUGCGUGAGCGUAUGCUAUUGAGUUGGUGGGACAGCUGAUUGAGAGGGAUGAAGUAAAAAUAGGUGUUCAAACACUUGUAAAUUGGAAUCCAGCAAACUGUUACAGAGCUGUUGCACAGUUUGACAGGACUGAAAUGGUCCUGAAGUCAUUUGUACCAAUCCAAAAGCCAACUACUGGCUUUUAAAAAAGAGCCAGAACUUUCCUAGUGGACUCAGGGCCUGCCCUACCUACCACAUCAUUCUGCUUUUGGGUAACUUUCUGAAUCACUGCAUGGCCAAACUGCCUGUGACUGCACAGCACAGGAUCAGGCCCCUGUAAGGGUGUGUUUUUUUUCUUUGUGUCACUGUUUUGUGCUUGUGUCUGUUGGUGCAGGAAGCUUCUGCUCGAGUAGUUGAGUGAUUUAAACAAAUCUCACGAUCGUGUUCAGUCCAUCAGUUAACACACGGUCUGAAGUUCUGUUUCUCAGUAAGCCUAAAGGAUCAUCAGCCCAGCAAAGCGGCAUCCUGAGGGUUUCUAAUGACCUACCCCCCAGUAUGAUGGAACUGCUUUUACAUUCUCUGGUUGCUGUCCUUUCUGUAACGUUCACAUAUUGCCAGUGCAGUUGUUUUCCAACCACUGCUUUCAGUAUGGUUGUCCAUUUAAAAUAAACAGUUACUACUGAAAUGUGGUGUGCAAUGUGGGGAGAGGGAAAAGAAAUAGCAACAACAAAAGGACAGAUGCUUGAAUUUCCCUGCAGUAAACAUGGUUUUAUUAGAUAAUUUUGCUGUGGACUUACAUGACUGCAAAACUCUUUUGUACAGACUUCUGUAAAAUUGUAGUAUUUGUAGAGAGCUGAACGUUUUCAAACUACAUUAUUUCAUGAUUUAUACUAAUAGUUGCUAAGGCACAUGGCUGCUAUAGUAAAAAUGGACUAGUGUUCAUUUCUGCAUGGAUGGUAACAAGUGUUUAGUUUGCUGAGCUUCAGAUAUUAUACCGUGAAAUGAGACUCCUUGACACAUGGUGGCUAAUCCAGUCGUAAUAGCUGGCUACUUGUGUGUAGACGCCGGGGUGACCGGCCUCCCCACAGUUUUCACCCCAACUCACAACACCCCAGACAUAAGCCACAUUUUCUGCAUCAAAGCAAACCAGGGGACCUCCUGAAUCACCUUUGCAGCUGUCAAUGGAGCCAUCGUAAGUACCUGCGGCAAAAGAGGGUGGGGGAACAACAACAACUCAAAAGUAAGUUUAUAUGCAAGCUAGCACACAAAGUAGAGCUCAGGAGGCUUUUUAGAUCCAUGUCACUUCCUGACAGGUGUCUGCCUAGCAGUCACUACUACUGGAAGUUCCCAGUCUCUUUGGUCUACUAUUUCUUAAUUAUUUUGAAGUGCAGCCCCCCCUCUUUACAAUUUUGGCUGGCCCAAAAGCUCAUUUGCUUUCACGUCAGGAAUGUGAUUCUUCUUGUGACAGAGAAGAAUUCAGACAUAUUGUAUAUUAUAUCAUUAGAAGUAGCUUAUAAAAAGGGGACAGAAGGUAGAAGAAAAGGGUAAGAAGAUUAGUGGACCGAUCCCUCUGGAAAUUAAGCUAUUAUAAUAUGCAUGUUCCUCUACAUCUGCUAUUGAUGUUCUCUCUACCUAGUAGUACAUUGGCCAAUUUGAUCUGAGCUACGCAGAAGUAGAAACCUCAAAAUUAAUUUCUCUGCAGGCUUUAUGGCAAAAGGUGGGCAGAUCCAAGGAUAGUACAUGAAUGAUGGGAUACAAGAGAGUGUAACUGUCUUUAACUGAGCCCUUGCAGAUAUGGCACUUGAAGUGUGGACCUUCUGGAGCACCAGGUGACAGCUCUGAGACAUAAACAUAUGGGCUGUGGUGCUCUCUACAAGUUUCUGGGGUUUUGAAGCUACUUGUUUCCAACUUAGCAAAUGUAGUGGUUGUAAUAAAUAAAUAAAGAUGAAAGAAUAUGAUAUAGGCAAAAACUUGCUAGAGAGUUGGAAUACAAUUUAUCCUUUGUCCCACAGACUCAGUAGAAGUGUGUAAAGACAUCUUUAUGUCCUUCUUUAUACUCGGUUGAUCCACCUAGUUUGAAGGAACCCAUACUAAGCAAGGCUCCCCACGUUUUUAAACAUGUAACCUCUUUCUUGAGUCUCUACAUCACUGAGAAAGAGUUCUGUGAAUGUUUCAGGAUUGGAAAGACCAAUUCUAUAAAACUAGAUUUUGUUCCCCAUACUCAGUUGAAUUAACGUUACCUUCUAUCAGUAGUUCCAGCAGAUACCAGUCCUUAAUUCCAAAAUUUGUAUCUGCAUUCACGUUGUACUGAAUUUAUUCACAAAUGGUUAAGUUUUUAUAUCCAGUUUUAAUUUGUCUUGUUAUGUACUUUGUUUAAAUACUGCCUUCACUUCAGAGUUAAAGAACAGUUGAAACUAUCUGUCCUGUAAGUUGAAAACUCAUUGCUCUUUAAGACAUGUGUUUGGCAAUACCUUUUGUUACUUGAAAAGCAAAAAUGUGUACUCAAAAUGCUUAUUUUAGUAUUAGGAAUGACAACCAGUUUCCUGGCCAGACUAAUCUUUGUUUGAAAAGUUUAUAGUAUUUUUCCUGGGGUGUGGUUUAGUGGUAGAAAAUAUCUCAGCAGAUGAAUAGUCACAUGCUAGUCAAUAGGACUGUGAAUGUGCUCCAAAAAAGGCAUUUGCUUUAAUAUGUUCCUGAAGCAGAAUGAAAUAGAGGUAGGAGGAAGUUCAGUGGGCUGUAAUCUGCUUGUGUGUUUAGAAAACAUGACUCCAACUGUGUGCUGAAAUUUGCUUACAGUCACUGAAACUUGGCAUUCUGUCACCAUAACUGUUUAUAAUUAGAUAGAUAACAACAGAUGACUGUAGACUCCAGUGGCUAGUGCUUUGCUAAUGACAAUGCCGUUGCAUUUGGUUUCUUGCAUUUUCCAAGUCUAAAAGAUUCCCAGCCUGUAUGUCAGUCCUUAGCAACGGUGGGCAUGAUGGUAAAGUUAUAGUAAGAAAAUUCAUACUUGCCUGCACAUGCCAUUUUUUGAAAGAAUCGUCCUGGAUACAUUUCAGAACAAUUCUGAAAUAAAUUAACAUUUCCCCAUUUGAGCACAUAUUGUUUGGUAUAACCUAGAAAAGAAAAUGAUAAACUUUUCUAAAUUUAAACUGAUAAAUGUGUAUGAAACACUUUUAAUAUCAUAAUAUGAAAGUUAUAGAUUUGCUAAUCUACUGAAUUUAAUCUUAGAUAUUAUAAACCAGGUACCUUAAACUGCUGCUAACACUUGCCCCACAUCCACUGCCCAUAUGUUUCAAAAUCAAAGCAGAGUGGUUAAAUUGCAGUAUUAAAUGCAGUAGUUUCAUUUUUUUGUAAUUUUUACUCCUUCCCUUUGUUACUUUCUUCAAUUUUUUCCAUGUUUUCCAUAUCAGGGUUUCCAGACACUGGGAGACCAGUAUAUUGUUUUCUGUGAAAUGGAGAAACGCCUCUGAUCAUCCUUGUUACUUCUUUCUCAGAAAGAUGAGAGGACUGGAACUUGCAGAUACAGUCCCCAUCCAGAAACCUUGCAUUUAUCGCCAGCCUUGAACAUAUGCUCUGACCAGGGGACGCAGGCAGGUGUGCUGUAUUUCAAGGAGCACUCUCCUUUUCCAUGACCUUUCAGCUCCAGCAGAGCGAUGUCAUUUUCAUAAGUUGCAGCAUCAUACUUCUCAUGGAUUAUCAGUUGCUUUAGUCUGUAAGUGUCUGUCUCUCUGUCAUACUGUAUUGUAUCCAACAGCCCAAUCCAGACACGGUAUUGAUGAACUCGAGUUGCUCUGGAAAAGGAGCCAAUGAAAUAUGUUUUGGUACCUCACACAAGCACUGUAUGUUUCAAUUACUCAUAAAUUUUUGCAUUUUAUCAAAGUUUAUGUGGAAUAAAUAUUCAUAUUAUACACGUAUAGUUUCUUUCUGGACUUGUAUGUCGCAGUUGUUCUGAAGGAGGUAGAAGGCUGGUGACACUUAUUGCUGAGUCCUGAAGCUAAUACAGAAAGACAGUACUAAAGGCCAGUGUGUUUAGUGCCCUCACAAAGAGAAAGCAAAGCUUAUGUCUCUGAUAUCAGAUGAAAGAAGAAUGGGCAAAUACACAUGGAACACUGGGCUCGGCAGGUCUUUCCUGCCCACUCCUGCUGGCUCUGGGGAAUAGGUGGCACCAGGGACAUUCUUGGGGGACAGGCACUAGACCUCCCCAGUGCUGAGAGGAGGUAAUUCGUAAUUACUUUUUUGCUCACUGACAAAAUGCUUUGUCUUUGAAUCCCUCCCACUGUUAAUGUGAGCAAAUCAGUGAUUUUAGUUGUGUUAUUGAAUGGGCAAGUAAGAAUUAGCAACCAAGUAGCCGAGAAGAGCAAUAAUGCACAGAUUCAUCUUUUCUACUUUGCAAAGAAAUCAUUUCUCAGGUUGUUGCUUUUACCUGACACAGUGUGCAGCAGUCAGAACCCAACAGCCACCAAUAUAAACCCCUCCACAGUACACUGUUGCACCUUCAGUGCCAGUGUCUUUAAUUGCCACUUGCCAAGGGAAUUCACCCUAUUAAAAUGACAGAAACCCAAAUAAUAUGAAAUCAUCAUUGUGCUAUUUUUUGUGCAUAAAGGGAAACACAAUAUCACUUCAUCUCCUUGACUUAAUCUGCUAUUAAGAAGUUGUCUGUAAUCUGGGCUCUGACAUAAAAGCUCUGUAUUCUAAACUACAGUAACGUUGUUGUCUUCUGACAUUAUGCAGUGUCUCCCUCCCCGCAGCUUUCUGUCAGGAAACUCCUAAAAAAACCAGAUGGAGGAUCUGACCUGUCUCUAAAGCGAUAGACUGCUCUCCUCUACCAGGAAACACCAGAAAUUCCCCCUCCUGCCCCGUCAAUCUUUUGGAGCUUUCUAAAGCCCAAAGGAGCAUUAGGUAAGAAGAUCAUUCCCCUGGUGUGAUUUUCACUCUUCCUGGUCACCCACAAGCUAUACUCUUCAAAAAUCAGCUGAAGUGCACAACAGAUGAUAAACAUUUCAAGCCAGUGGUUUAUAGCACACCACAACAAUGGAACUGUGAGCAAAUUAAAAUAUAAGGGGACUUCACAGAAUCACACAGAAUGGCCUGGGUUGGAAGGGACUUCAAGGAUCAUGAAUCUCCAACCCACCCCCCUGCCCCCCCGGCACUGGCAGGGCCACCAACCUCUACAUUUAAUACUAGAGCAGGCUGCCAAGAGCCCCGUCCAGCCUAGCCUUGAACACCUCCACGGAUGGGGGAUCCACAACCUCUCUGGGCAGCCUGUUCCAGCACCUUACCACUCUCACAGUAAAGAACUUGCCCCUGACAUCCAACCUAAAUCUUCCCUCCUUCAACUUAAAACCAUUUCCCCUUGUCCUGCUAUUAUCUCCCCUUUCAAAGAAUUGACUCCCCUAACUUGGCUUAAACACCAGAAAAAUGAAAUUAAAAAAAAAAGAGUAGCAACUUGAUUUUUUUUCAAGACCUUUUUAUUGUCCCAGUUGACCCAGUUGACAUAACUAUAGCCAAUAACUACUUAGAAACAAAUAAAUCUAAAAUUGAAGAUGUGUUUCAUUGCAAGUAACAAGUAUUAAGUAUCUUCAACAAAUGUGAAAAUUAAGUGCCCUUCCCAGUCUGUUUUGUUCCCAUAUCUUGGAUGGCAGUGGGUUUGCAGUGUGGUUUCUGGUUGUUGUGGACUGCAAGGAGUGCUCCUUAUCCCUCCAUCUGACCAUCUGUCUCUAGGUGAGUGAUAACACCUAUCCUGGCAGCUCUCUGGUUAUUCCAUUGCUGGCUGAGUGCUUUUGCUCACUAAGAUGUGUGUGCAGGGGGAAUGUUGAAAUGUGAAAAAUAUGUAGCUAGACUUUGCAUAAAGAUGAGAAAGAAAUGUCAGUUGUCAGAUCGGAUUUAUCGGCUUUGAGUGCAUCCACUGAAUCAACAGAGCCAAAGUUUAAAGUUCUCGUGAAGAAAUCCUGGCCUAAGUAAAGGCAGUGGGAAUGUCGCCAGGGCUGAAUUUAUUCCGAGCCCCUCCCACCCUUUUAAGGGCUGUAUAAUCUUAAUAAAUUCUUCCUGUUCUUCUCAGGUCAGUAGAAUCCUAUGCAUUAUCUUUAGAUUUACAUACCAAACUCUGAGCCAGGCCCGGCUUGGCAUAACUCCUGUAUUGCACUAGAUGUUUCUCUUUAGCUCUGACAGAAUAGCAACAAAAGGGGCUGAUCUUUACCUACGGGUUUUUCUUGGAAAGCUCAGGCUAUGCUGAACAUGGAGCCCAUCAGGACUCCUUGAGAGGCUUUUGCCAGAAGAGAUUUUACAACAAAAGCUUUCUGAGCUGAGCCACACUUGCAGGUUGGGUUUAGCAUAGCAUCCCGAUUAAAAGAUUUUCCAAAAGGCUGUUAAUGUAAACCUCAGAUAGAACCGAUAUACAGAGGAGAAACAGCAAGAUUCACAUUUUCAAGCUGGACUAAAACAAAUGUACGAAAUGCAGAUGCUGCAAAAGGAAAUUAAAAAAGACUUUGUUUUUAUAAUAAUAAAUUGUUUUAACUGUUUGCUGUUGGUUGGUUUGUUUUUAAAAUAAGGGGAUACCACAAUAAAAUAAGUUCUUACCUGUGCUCGACAGAAAGAAAAGAGAGAGAAGCAAACCAAGAGAACUGCAACCACUCUCAUGAUGAGGUUUUAUGUCUUUGUAGAGAAAUUCCCCUGGCCGGGACUUUCCCAAUUGCCAGUCGUUAGGUUUGUGUUUAAUUUUUAACCUUUGGUAAAACACUCUGAAGUGGACUCAGAAACAACUACGGGAGCCUUAGAUAUCAACGGAUGAGUCUGCUCUCUCCACACGGAUCCCACCCCAUUUAACCUGUUUUACUGUAAAUAGAGACCAAAGGGAAGCCCUUGAAGCCAACGGUUACAAGGGAGUGCUCAGCAGGGUCUCUCGCUCCCCGCCUGCUGCCAACGCAGACCGAUGGAGCCGCGGGCCGAUCUCCUGGCAGCAGGCACCCCGCUCUGCAGGGAGCUGUUAGGGCAGGUGCGUUCUUAGGUGAGAUACGUGUGUCUGUAUGCAGGCAGGCAAACGGAACGGAUCAACUCCACUAUCUCCGUGCGAGAGCGUAACCGGCGGAGCCUUGCUCAGAGAACUGUUGGGGCAGUGGCCAAUCCACUGCAUCCCACCUGCGGGCGGUUUCCGGGAGAACCGCGGUCUCGGCCGGCACAACGGAACGGCUCCUGCGA